GCCACGGUGGUCUAGCGGUUAGAACGCUGGCCUGUAAUCCUGGGGUCUCGGGUUCGAUUCCCGGCGGUGCCC
Non-coding RNA from Zootermopsis nevadensis, 72 nucleotides. Lineage: Eukaryota; Metazoa; Arthropoda; Insecta; Blattodea; Termopsidae. The record is from Rfam.